CCCCUUUUUGGCGGCGGCGAGCGGUGAGCGCGCGACGGGAAGAGCGGGGUUACGCAAAGCGCGCAGCGGUGCGCUGAGGGAAGGGGCCGGGCCUUACGGAAAAGGCGCAGGGCGCUGCUCGCCGCUGGGGCGGGCGGCGGGGAGUGCCCCGGCGCCGUCGGCUUCCCUCUUGCUCCCUCAGACCACACCGUAGGCCGGUGAAAGCUCUCUGGUUCCGAAACCCAAGCCCUAGCGCUAGUCUUGCCGGGAAGGUGGUCCCGCGGAGCCCGACAUGUCCUGCUUCCCUGCGCGGUUGGGUCUGUGAGGGAUUUCUUGUCAGGGCUCGGGCCAAGGCGAGGGCUCAGCACUGCACGGGCCCCGGCGGGGUCCCUGACGCGCUGUGGAGGUGGUACCGAAGGAGCCGUCACCACAUCCCAAAUGCCCCUUUGGGAGGCCUGGCCUGUGAGGGACUGGGCUCCUUAGCUCCAGGCAGUGCCAGAAGUCCGGCCCCAGGGAAGUGGACCUGGCAGCUCAGGAGUCUCAGCUGUGCGCCGGGCUGUCCAGGCAGGACACCGAGAAAUUCCCAGUUCCUCAUUAACUAUUUCUUAUGACAGAGGAUCAGCUUCUAAAACCAAGGCAUCAGCAAAGGGACAGCAAUGCUAUCAGAGGUUUUAAUAGGAGGACCUUUAAGAAGAGGAGAAGGUUGUGCUGGAAACGUCAAGAGCCUCCAAACUGUCUGGCCAUAAACCAAGUGACUUGAAUGUGCCGGUUUUCUCUGCUUCAGUGUUCAUGAGCCAGGUUUGGGGUGGAUUCAUACAGGUGAUCUAUGCAAAAACUAACCUAGAAAAAAGAAAAAAAAGGAAAGGAAAAAGAAGAAAGUAAGUGGUGUCCAGCCAUUUGGGUUCCAUCAACCAGCCUACAGACCCCCUGUGCAAAACAAGAAGAUGUAUUCUGGGAGAACAGCAGUCCCAGCUUCGAUUGUUUUAUGCUGCUGAGCAAAGGUACUGCAUAUUCUUCUAUUUGGCAUAAAAUUCCAAGGUUCAGGAUGAUAGAAACAUUACAUAUGUAUACCAAUGAUCAGCAGAUAAUUUCUAUAAGUUACUACAGAAGAUCUCUCUGAGUCCUGGUUUUCUACCUACAAGAGACAUGGUGUGAAUGCAUAUUUACAAAAUGCAAAUCCAGCUGUUCUAAAGAGAUUUUUAAAAUAACAGAUCCACCAAGUAAUCUGACUUCUGUAUGUGAUUAGCUUUUCUGGUCGUUACCAAAGUUCUGUGUGAACAUGUGUUUUAACCUGGAUUUUCUUGGAAGCAAAGUUGUGUCAAAUUAUCCCUUUCAGUUGAAAUACUCAAGGAGAUCCAGAGAAAGGAAAGGAUCCAUGGUCCAUGUGGAGCCUUCCUUUUGUGAUUGUCUCCUGUUAACCAGCAUGGGAGCAGAACCAUCUCAUCCAAAGUUACUUCUCUAAGGUGGCAUGAUUUGUGAUAUCCUAGGAUUCCCCACUCUGGUUUUUGGCAUGACUCUUUCAGUUCAGUCCUCUGGCUACAAUUUGAUUGGAAGAGUGCAAAUAAGCCCUCUUAAAAAAAGGCAGGAGAGCAGCGGGUCACGUUAUUUCACCUUGGCAACCUUCAUGUGACUGGGGGCAGGAGUGGUCAUGUGAGUUGCUGACACAGGACAUUUUCUACAUAUUUGUUCCUCCAAACUAUGCCAGCUCUUCAACCUGAUUUUUCUAAUUCUGAGACUGUGUAAAUGACCAAGGUCUGUCUCUCCACCUGCCCCUCACAGUUCAGUAUUGCAGACCUUGAUCUAAUUUUAAGCAAACUGAAAUAAAAUGUAGUCAUUGAUCAUAGGAAGCUCCAACCAGUCAGAAACCGGCAGAGAUUCAGUCUGUAGCUGAGUGAGUGGCAGACACAGGCUGGGCACUUUGUUGUUACCUUCAUCCCAGGAGCAUAGGACUUGAGAGCAGUGAGGUCUGAAGUAACCCAUGCUUGAAAGAAGGCGGAAAUGUUAAGGAGAGGUCAUCAACCAAUGAAGGAUUAAUGGGGUGCUUGGUUUUAUUUGGGGAAUUAAAAUGGAUUGUAAGCCUUUCUGUAAAAGGCAGGUAAUAUGAGUACCAUCAAAGUGUGUGUGUCGCUGCCAAGUGAUUCUGCAGCUGAAGGGAAAUUUGGGAACUUUGGCACUUUGAUGGUGAGGAUCCAGUAACUGCAGUGCAACAGGGCAGGAGGGUGUUUUGUUUGCAAUUGCUUUGUCUUUGCUGGUUUCACUAUAGCACCUGAAAUACAGCGGGAAGCAGAUAGAAAUGUUUGGAGUUUUGUCAAAGAGGUGGAGCUCUGGAAAUAAGCCAGAGCUUGGUGUUAGCCACUCAGAGGGGAAAGCUGAGGAGGUGGGUCCUCUCUUAUGACAGGAAGGUGAAUUACUGCCAUGGAAUUCUGCUAAAAUGUAAAUAAUUCAUUGCUUCAAAGCCAUGGUUCUGUCAUACAUAAGAGACUGCAAAAUCUGUUUGAGAAUUUGCAUCCCUGAGUAGGGGAUUUUAAAGUUAGUUGUCUGAAAGUCUUGAUACUCUUUAACAGAAAGAUGUGUGAGUUUUUCCACAGGAAAACUUUUCUUACCCUUCUGAAUUUCUGAAAUUCUUCUACUUCAUGUUAUGCAUAACAUUUCAUAGCAACAGCUCCUUCCUAUGAUAAGUUGAAAAAGUGCGUGGACAGUUUAAUGUGGAAUUUUCAAAACAAAGCAGAAUUUGUCAUCACUGAGUUAGAGCCAGACUUCCAUUGUGAAUAUUUGUCUCCAUCAAUAGGGGAUCUUAAAGUGUGUUCAAAAUACAACUGUAAAAUGUCAUGGAAGGGAAAUCCACUGUGCAGGCUAUUAAGUACAAAACCACCAUGUCCAGCUCAUGUCUGAAGUCCUUGAUCUGCAAGUUGUUGGAAAAUGGGAAUGUAUUCUGUGUAAGUCAAUGCUUGCUCCAUUCUCACAUUCUUUCCCAGGUGUCAACUUUCACAGUUGCCGAGACAAAAUACUGGGCUUGAGGGACCUUUGGUAUAACAUAAAAUGAACUCUUCUUUGGUCUAACUCCUUCCUAAUUUUCAUGCAUAUAAUAACACCCUGAAGUUGAAGUUGUGGAGUUGUUACUGGAGGAGAGGAGUUGGGGACCAAAAUCCACCACACCUUCCCUGGUGAAUUUGGGCUGGGGCAAUCUUUUUCACUACUAGUGUCCCAAUUCCUGAUCAAGACAGUAAUUAGAGUGUCCAGUUAAACAAAAAAAGCCAUUUUCCGAUGGCACAAGAUUUGUGUUGACAAGGAAUUACAGCCUGAUAUCCACUCCUGUUGCCUACUGGUGCCCGCUUCUCUUCUCUGGAUAAUGCUGUUAUGAAUUAUCAGUAACACAUUUUUACUCUCUUCCCAGGAGUCUUUACAAUUGUUUUGUAAGAACACAUGCAAGAAAGUGUAAGCAAAAUCUCUCCGUUAAGCAAGGAUGUUGAUUGCUGUACACGCUGCAAGUCCUGCUGUCCUGUCAGUAGCAAGUGGAGUGAGUGAUGUAUGAGGUCCUGCAUGCUGGUCUUCACUACCUUUGAAAAAUACAUCUUCGUAUAGCCCUCUAGGAAAGAAUGCAUUUACUUUUAGUGGUAGCCUAUUGGUUUGUAAUGAGAAGCAGCUCAAUUACAGGAGAAUGGCUUUAGUAUAAGACCCUUAGGGAAAGUGUGAUGCACAGAGGUAGUGUACUAAGGCAGGAGGUUUGUGUGUCCACCAGGAGGCAUAGCAAGCUAGGGCUCCGUCUUGCAUACAGCCCUGAACAUACUGCAUGUACCAGCAGUGAAGGGAACCUAAAGCUUUCAUCAGAUUUUUUACAUCCAGAAGUAGGAAAUUAAGAGAUUUCUAGAAUAAAAAUUAAAAUGUGGAGAACUGGCAAGAAGGUGAAGAAAUAAAAGGCAUAUAUGUCAAAAUGUUCUCUGGUCAAAGGCUGUAAUUUCAAAUAAAUUUUGUUGCUGUCGUUCACAGUCAUUGGAAGUCAUAAUUGAUAUGACUGAAAAUAAAAAUGCUAAUCAGUGUAUAAAGCAAUGCUGGGGCUCAGCUUCUUAAGGUAUACAUCAGCAGUUGUGUAA
This is a long non-coding RNA of Aquila chrysaetos chrysaetos, 4070 nucleotides long. RefSeq lists it as uncharacterized. The transcript has 3 exons. NCBI's taxonomy places the organism in Eukaryota, Metazoa, Chordata, Aves, Accipitriformes, Accipitridae. The record is from RefSeq and is a predicted model, not a curated record.